Molecule: long non-coding RNA, 688 nt
Filed under: Carica papaya (papaya)
Lineage: Eukaryota; Viridiplantae; Streptophyta; Magnoliopsida; Brassicales; Caricaceae
Description: long non-coding RNA (CPAP_LNC010965)
Source: RNAcentral
AAUGAAAAAAUCCAUUUGAACAUUAUCUCUGAGGGAUUUUUGUUUCUCCCUCCUCUAAAUAAGUGUGGUGAACUGCUCCCUGUGAUGAUCAGCAUUUUCUUUGAUGAGAGAGGAUACAAAUUUGGUGAGUAUAGGGUCUCUAUGAUGAAUAGAUCACCAUGGAUUAGAGUCUAAAUAGGGAUUCAUAGUGGUAGUCGAGGAUCCCUUCUACCCUCAGUGGAUAUAUGUUGUAACGGCUUUGCGUAAAGGUCAAUAAAAGACAAAUAAAAUUUAAGCAUUGUUUAGAGCAUCAUUUUAGUCUUUAUGAUGAAAUUUCCUACUUUUAGUGCAUCGUAUACGCUUUCUAAUCUUUGUCUUAUCCAACUUCUCUGUUUAAGUAUUCUUGGUGAAAUGGAUCUACUUAAGAUGAUAUUUUAUUGAACAUCUAUAUAUCUAGUUUUUAUGAAGAUAGCGAUUUUCAUGCGAUUUAAUGACUCCAUUCUGCAAUGAACUCCAAGGUCAAAGGUAUAUGAGCUUUAUUCAAAAUGCUUCCCCUUUAAACCUUAGUCAUAUGAUUUCAAAUAUUGUUUUUCUUAUUAAGUUUACAUGAAACUCACCCAUAAUCCGUGCCCCCCGGUGUUGAGGAAGUUAAGGGUUCGCUCUCUGAGUCACCUUUUGGAGUCCAGGUAGACCCAAUUCCAGACUCUUG